CUACUACUAUUAUUAUCUUUGAAGCUCCAACGUGGUUCUUAGCACAGAGGAGGUGCUUAUUAUAAAUGGCUAAUGAAUAAGGAGAGAAACAAGAUCCACACUUUACAGUUGAGGAACAUGAGACUCAGUGGUGGAGGGAGCAGAGGGAGGUGGUGUCCAUGGUCGCUCAGUCAGCCUCCAGCAGAGAAGGAUCUGACGCCACAGUCCAGGCUAUUCCUGCAGUUCCUCGAGGCCCUGCUCACUGAGGCCAAGAUAGGAGAAGGACCUUUCCCAAGGUCAUGCACUGGUCAGCUGGCUGUAGAACCGAGAUCAGAGAGCUGGCCCCUGGCCACUGGGCAGAUAGCAGCCUGCAGUCAAGCACAAGUGGCUUUCUGGAGGUGAUUUCAUUGACCCCUGCUUCUCCCCCCAACCAGGCUUGGCCAUUCCCUGGCUGCCAGGAGCAGCGACAGGUGAUGGAGCAGGAGGUGAUAAACACAUCCCUUGACUUCCGUGAACGCCCAUCCAAUUUGCCAUUCCCAGGCUUAUGCCAAGAGUGUUUGUGUUAAUAAACCAAAUGGGCUUUUCACAGUCCACCCAGAGUGACUGAUGGCAGAGGCAGCGUGCAAUCCUGGCGGCUCCUUGGCCUCCUUCCUACUGAGCAGGGCGCCAGCUGGAACGGGGAGGGGGCACAGGAGAGCACAGACUUCAACUUCAAGUCGCUUUAAGUUGCAGACUUCCAGAGUCAUCCGGGCCCAGGGACACUUUCCCAACACCGUCAACGUGCAGUGCCUGUCCUACGAUACCCUGCAACCUCCUCCAGCAAAGCUCCGUGGCCUAGGCCACGCCCCCGGGAAUCAACUAACAAUGCAGUCAUCCCAAGGAAGAAGGGGAUUGGUCAAGACCACGUGCAGAAGCCAGUGAUUCAGCUAAAAGUCCAUCACCAGUAAGAGGGUUAGUCUGAAAUAUGUUAGAUGCUUUUUUUUUUUUUUUUUUGUCAUUAAACAAAGGGUAAGUUAUA
Molecule: long non-coding RNA, 997 nt
Filed under: Rhinopithecus bieti (black snub-nosed monkey)
Lineage: Eukaryota; Metazoa; Chordata; Mammalia; Primates; Cercopithecidae
Description: lncRNA (ENSRBIG00000045609.1)
Source: RNAcentral